CGUAAUUUUAAGAAUUUUGACCGGCCAAGUCGCGGACUGGGCAACGGAGGUGACCUGUCCACAAACAGGACAAAAAAUUUGCCCAGUUUUCGGACUGGACAAUAUCGCCCGGGGGUGUAACAUAAGCAUUUCCCAAAAAUGGUGUGCACAAAUAUUCGAUGACAUUCUCUGGAAAAAGUAAUCUACGAAUAGAAAUUUUCGAGUCCCGAAGAGAGAAGUUGGGCACCACAUCAAGGAGGUGAAAGAUGACUUCAAACAUUUCAGGCCAAAGGACAAAAAGGAGUGCCCAACCUUUUAUUCAUGACUCCGUCAACUUUUUAUGAAGUUUCAUUCUUCGGAAGUACGUUUGAAAACAAACAAUAAUUACGGGGUUCGAUUGACAAUCUUUGCUGUGAUCAAGUCGUUUCCUGUGACCGAGAUGAUUAGCUUGAUAAUAAAUACAACCGUCCUCGGAAGUUCAAGUGGUCAGUAAAACUUUGUGUGUCAAACUGACUCUCCUGCACCGCAGCAUCUCUAUCAAUCCGACGUAAGUGCGCACAUUGGAUACUAUAAUUCUUCAUAAUACUUCAACUCUUUGCGCAGAAAUGCUCCACAUGACGAAAAGUUCGAUUUCAUCAUUGCCUCUUAGACACGCG
Molecule: long non-coding RNA, 635 nt
Filed under: Bemisia tabaci
Lineage: Eukaryota; Metazoa; Arthropoda; Insecta; Hemiptera; Aleyrodidae
Description: lncRNA ENSSSA1NGG014740
Source: RNAcentral